UCAUGUCUGUAAACUGGAGGUAAUGACAGC
RNAcentral lists this non-coding RNA (30 nucleotides) under Mus musculus (house mouse). The record is from RNAcentral. Lineage: Eukaryota; Metazoa; Chordata; Mammalia; Rodentia; Muridae.